Molecule: long non-coding RNA, 1433 nt
Filed under: Capra hircus (goat)
Lineage: Eukaryota; Metazoa; Chordata; Mammalia; Artiodactyla; Bovidae
Description: lncRNA (ENSCHIG00010002846.1)
Source: RNAcentral
UGAUACUCAUGGCCUGCUUUAGGUAGACCUCCAACGGAUGAUUCCUAAGAUACUUGUUUCCAAAACCUCUGACAGCUAAAUAGAAAAUACUCAAGUUGUGUGUAAUUUCAUGUUUCUUUAAAAGCAAGACUACUAUGUCAGUACUAGAUUACUCUGUGACUUUAUAAGUAAAUAUCUCUUUUGUGGACUUUUAAAAACCUGUAAGAAGAAAGUUUCAGCUACUAAACACCCCACUAAAUUAACACUAGAAACACUAGAAAUGCAGGGAUAAACACGGGACAGUCAUUUCCUUCAGAGGAGGAGCCUGCCUUCAUCCUUCAGGUGGACUGGCGCAAAUGCAAGAUCUGCCCCCGCCCACCCACCCCCAUCCCGGCCACAGGGGACGAUGGUGCAAUUGGAAACUCUUCCCAGAGUCUGGCCACAGGUGGACUCAGCACCAAAUCACAGGGCACAGGAGAGGGGUCGCCAGGAAACGUCUGCACCUACUAUGCUGGAGCACACGAGAUGCUCCAGGGAUCCUUUGCGGAAGGCUGUGGGAGGGUGAGGUCACUUCAAUGACACAAGCUACUCUAGCAAUAGAUUUUCCCCAACUCCUGGGAAAUAUGCCUGCUGACUCCUUUGAGGCAUGCAAAAUUCCUCCUUCCAGCUCUGAUUCAUUCCCUGUGUGAGUGUGUAACUACAGCUCAUUCCCAUCCCUCUUUAAUUCUAUUCUUUAAACAGCUUCUGCCUCUCCCUUUAAAACCAGCUUAAACCAGCAAACUACAGCUGUAUGACUCAUGGAGAAAACAGCAGAUAAGCAGCAGUUACCUGGACUUUAAAAACUGGUCACAGGCAUCCUUUUAUCCUUGUGGAAGUAUUUAAUCUUAGGGAAAAACAUUUUCCUUCACUGUCCACACACCUUGAGGGGAGAGUGGGGGAGGGUGGGCAGAUGGAGACAGGGUAACAAAGGCAAGAAGUGCCACCAAGACUUCGCUAAUAGCUUAAGAAAUCAGCUCUUUUCUAGCAAAAUGUACAUCUUGCUCUGGCAUUGUAGAAGAAGAGUCUAUAAUUUCAUAAAUUUAAUGAUUUAGGCAAGCGUUUGUUUUCCUUUACUUGCUGAACAAGGUCAUUUAUAAGUUACCAAACUCAUUCCUGCUUGGUAAAAUAAGACAGUGAACACAGAAUCUAAACCCAGACUUAAGAGGAAAACAAAGAGGAUUUCUAUUGUAUUUCCAUCAUAAAUCAAAUUAGCUGCUUGAGACAGAGUCUUUCAGGUAUCCACAUCAAAUAUCUCUUAUUAAUGUUCUCCAAAUAAAAGUUUCAGGGUUCUGAAAGCUGCUAAUAGGAAUUUAAAGGCUUUGACUGUGUGGAUCACAACAAACUGUGGGAAAUUCUUAAGAGACUGGAAUACCAGACCACCUUACCUGUCUCUUGAGAAACCUGUAUGCAGGUCA